UACGGAGGGUGCAAGCGUUAAUCGGAAUCACUGGGCGUAAAGCGCGCGUAGGCUGUUUGGUAAGUCGGACGUGAAAGCCCUCGGCUCAACCGAGGAACUGCGUUCGAAACUGCUGAACUUGAGUCCUGGAGAGGGUGGCGGAAUUCCGGGUGUAGGAGUGAAAUCCGUAGAUAUCCGGAGGAACACCGGUGGCGAAGGCGGCCACCUGGACAGGUACUGACGCUGAGGUGCGAAAGUGUGGGGAU
This 245-nucleotide ribosomal RNA is filed under the name uncultured bacterium. Its description in RNAcentral is "partial 16S ribosomal RNA". It matches the Rfam family "Bacterial small subunit ribosomal RNA", at positions 524 to 768 of the family's 1533-position model. The record is from RNAcentral.